RNAcentral lists this long non-coding RNA (42155 nucleotides) under Gossypium barbadense (sea-island cotton). RNAcentral's name for it is "long non-coding RNA (GBAR_LNC015158)". Lineage: Eukaryota; Viridiplantae; Streptophyta; Magnoliopsida; Malvales; Malvaceae. The record is from RNAcentral.
GUGCAAGGACAUGAAUAAGGAGGAAUUACAUAAAGUUUUACAAGAUUGUUUGAAUGGAAAAAGAUUUUUUAUGGUGCUAGAUGAUGUAUGGAACGAGGACAAGAAGAAAUGGAGUGAGCUGAAAGAUUUGUUGUGUGUGGGGGAGCCCAAUGGAGUAGAAUAAUUGUCCCAACUCGUAGCUGCAAAGUGGCUACAAUCAUAGGCACAACACCUCAGUAUGAUUUAGAACAUCUUUCUUAUGAGAAUUGUCUAUCAUUGUUUCUUAAACUUGCCUUUAAAGAAGGUGAAGAGAAACAACAUGACAAUCUUGUAAGAAUCGGGGAAGGAAUUGUUCAAAAAUGCAAAGGGGUUGCUUUGGCCGUGAAGACUUUAGGCAGCCUACUCUGUUCAACUAGGGUACAACAUGAUUGGGAACUUGUGAGAGAUAGUGAGCUAUGGAAGUUGAAGCAGGAGGAAAAUGACAUCUUGCCUGCUCUAAAACUAAGUUAUGAUCAUUUGCCCUGGUAUUUAAAGCAAUGUUUCGCCUUUUGUUCAGUUUUUCCAAAAGAUUUUGAAUUCAAUCCUCUCUAUUUGAUCCCGUUGUGGAUGGCAAAUGGCUUUUUGCAAUCACCAUACGAAAAUGAAGAGCCAGAAGAUAUUGGGAAUCGGUAUAUACAAGAGUUACUAUCAAGAUCUUUCUUCCAACAAGUUGAAGAUAAGUUUUUAACUUUCACCUUCAAAAUGCAUGAUCUAGUACAUGAUCUUGCAUUAUCAGUAGUGCAAAAUGAGGUGAAUUCAUGUAACCAUUAUUCAACUGGGAAUGUUCGACAUUUAUUGUUUGAUCUAUUGAAGCAAGAUGGUUCGCAGUUACCGAAUAACUUGAGCUGUCUGCAAUCACUUUUCUUAUUAGAUGAAGAAGGCAAGGCUGAUAGCGAAUCUCUUAUUGCCAAAGUCAUCUCAAGGUCUAAACAUUUGAGGGUGCUACAUAUGUCUGGCUGCAGUUUUGAGCAUUUGCCAAACAAUAUACGUUAUUUAAAGCAGUUGAGAUAUUUGAACCUGGCCUACAAUGGAAAUAUAAAGAGACUUCCAAAUUCCAUUUGCAAUUUGCAGAGUUUGGAAAUACUUGACCUCGGUGGAUGUACGAGAAUUGAAGAGUUACCAAAAGACAUAAGGUACCUGAUUAGCCUUAGAAAAUUAAUGGUAACAACAAAACAGACACGUUUGCAAGAGAAUGGUAUAUGUUGCCUAAGUACUCUUCGGAUUUUGGCCUUCUUUGAAUGUGAAAAUUUAGAAAAGUUGUGUGAAGACAUUCAAAACCUAACAGCCCUCCGAGAAUUGUACAUCGAAGAAUGCAACAACUUGGUUUCAUUGCCACAAGGUUUAAAAUACCUAACUACAUUAGAAAAUUUGGCAAUUGUAAAUUGUGAAAAGCUUGAUCUCACUAUGGAGGAGUUGGAACUUGAGAGGAAAGAAGAUGGUAGCCUUCGAAAAUUGUGGAUUGGAGGAGUGCCAAAGCUGGAGUCACUACCCCAAUGGAUCCUUCUAGGAUCCACCAAAACUUUGCAGCACUUGUAUAUUGGAGAAUUGGAGAAUGUCUCGAGGUUACCAACGUGGUUCCAAGAUCUCACAUCCCUUCAAAGUCUAUACAUUAAAAAUUGCCCAAAGCUGUCGUCUCUGGCAGAAGGGAUGCAACACCUCACUGCACUCAAAAGACUAAUGAUUGGAGGGUGUCCAAAAUUAAGCAAAAGAUGCAUUGAAGAAACCGGUGAAGACUGGCCUAAGAUUGCUCAUGUCGUUGACAUUAUUGUGGAGUCAUGAAGGCCUCAAUAACAUAUGAUGAAAACAUAAUGUAAGUCACCAAACACUAAUCUAUUUGAUACAUAUAUCUUAUUAACUUUUUAAAUGUUAAUAUUUCUAAAUUAAAUUAGGCUCCAAAUACUACUUUAUUUCUCAUUAAGAUAAUUGAAUUUUAUCUACUCUAAAGCAAAUAAAACUUCACUCAUAAUUAGUAUUAAAAUUUUACUCAAAAUGUUAGUAAAAAUAUUAUCUAGAACUUCAAAAAUUACAUUUCUUAAAAGGAAAAUUGUAUAAUACUUCAACUUGAUGUUCUGGUAGAGUUUUUCUAACAGAACUUGUAUAUCUAUUAAAAUGGCAGGUCAAAUUUGAUGAUGUUGAAGAUAUUAAAAAGACAAUGAAAUGGUAAGAGUUUGAAUUGUUGGUUCCAAUGUAUGCAUGUUUGUAAUUUGAUUUGUACCAAAGAAAAUGAUGUAAUAAUUUGAUUUUUUAUGUAAGUUUUGUUGCUACUAAAAAGUGUUUAUAGGCUCGGCCAACAACCAUAUUUUCCUAUUCAUGGUAUGCCUUUUUUUUUAUCAACACAAAAGGGAGAUAGCAUUAUGAAUAUCGAGAAAGGAUUGUAUGAAAUUGUAAUUUUAUAUUAUCCCUAUCCCUUUUUAAUAGAAGAAUGACAAAUCAGAUUUUUUUCUCCUGAUUUUUAAUAUUUUUUUGUUGAAUUUGAAUUUUGUCAGGAGGAAAAAACUAAAAAUUAAGAGAAAAUUUUAAUUUGCCAUUCUUCUAUUGGAAAGGAAUAGGGAUGAUAUGAAAUCACAGUUUCAUACAAUCAUUUCUCUAUGAAUAUCAUUCUAGAUAUUAAAUAAAUGUUAAAAUGUUUUUAUUUUGAAAAAAAAUUGAAUAUUUUUUUUAUCUAGAGCUUGAACCUCUAUGACUAUUAAAAGAAAUAAAGAAAAUACAAAUUUGAGAUUGAUAUGAGUUCGAAUAUGACAUGCAUGUAAAUUUACACGUUUAAUUUUUAGUUAGUUUUUCAAUAAUUUAUUUUGAUUAUUGUUACCUUUCAUUGAAAAUGAUAACUUUCCUUAGUUUUAAAAUAAUAUACAAAUUUGAAAUUAUAUAUACUAUAAUGUUAAUUUGAAAAAAUUUAAAAAAAAGAAGAAAGUAAAACAACAUGCAACAAUUAUAAUAAUUAUUAUUAAUAAAUAGGAAAGUUAUUUAAACUAAAUUAAUAAACAUAUUUAAUAAUAGUGAUUAAAAAAUAAUUGUUAAAAUUUGAUUUUUUUUUCAAAACAAAACUACAAAAAUUUUUUUUUGCCUAAACCAAACAAAUGACAUAUAAAUAAAAAAAGAAAUAGUUUGAAGAGAGCUUAUUUCACACAAUCGAAAUAUAACCUCCCUAGCUCGGCCUAGACAUUAAGUCCGAAUUUAGAAGCUUACAUUGGCCAUCGAAAUGAUCCAGUAAGCUAUCGGAAUUUAUAAAACAAUCAUUUUAAAACGUUUGUUUAUCUUAGAAGAAACUUAUUCUAUUUUCAGAAAAAACUCACAAAUUAACAAAAAAAAAAAAAGAUUAAGUAAAACAUUUUCCUUGUAACGGUGGCUACUUUUGAAAACUUAGUUAAUUUCUAAUUUAUUGAUUCUUCUAAAAUUUAUUUAUAAUCUAAUAACGGAGAAGUGAUAUUCAACUUAGUUUUAAUUAAGAAAAAUGAGGAUUUAUUUUGUGCAUAUUUAAUUCUCAAUCCAUGUUCAGUAUCCUGAAUUCAAAUCAAAUAAUAUGCAUGCUAAAUAAACCCAAAACCGAAGUUUAAUGCCACAGUUCAAAUAAAGUGAUUUAGUUCCUAAAUAAUAGAAAUUUCAUAUGAAAAGUCUAAAAUACUUUCUAAAUAAAAGAUCAAAACAAUUUUGGGCCCUCCGAGUGCUGCACUCGCGUCCUAACCUGGUGGGUUAUCUGUAAGGAUGAAUAUAAAUAGGGUGAGCUUAAGAAGCUCAAUAUACGCCCAAUCACAAGAAAAUCAAUGGGGAACACAUAUCUUAGGAUAAAUACAAGAUAACAAUUCUUAGGAUAAAUACAUUCGUAUAGCAAAUCACAAUUUCACAAUUUCACAAUAUUGGUUUACCAGAAUAACACAUCACUAUAAUGCUUUAGAAUUUAUAAUUUUAUCUGCACAUGCUUAUGAAUGACAACGCAAUUUUAGUUUAUAAAAAAAGGUCCUACCCUAUUGCUACACACUAAACUAUGACUUCCACAGAACUCAUCCAACCUUUUAACUCCGAGUUAUGGAUUAACACUGCUAGUUUGCAGAUAAACUGUCACAUGUUGUAUAUACACAACAUAAUUGCAGAUAGAAGCUACCACUUGGUUUGUAAAAAUUGUAGGUAAACCGCCAAUAUUUUUAGAUAAAAACAUUUGAAGACAAAUUGCCACUUGAUUUGUGAUCGAACCACAUAUUUGCAGUUACUACCAUUUGUUGUGGGUGCACAACAUAUUUGCAGAUUAAAAAAAAAUUGCCACUUGGUUCAUGAACAAACCACAUUGUUUGCAGAUUAUUAAAUUGUCAUUCUUCCUUCAUACAUAUCAUCUCACCCUAUACAAUUCAGUUUGACAUUCUUUGAAAUAGAAUAAAUCAACGCUAGCAGUAACCAUGCUUAACAUGCAUUCGGUUCAUUACUAGCAAUUAACAUGCUUUACGUGUAUUCAAUUCAACACAAGCAGGAAACAUGUUUUAACAGGUAUUCAAUAGGGCGGUGACAAUAUUAACACUAAUAGUUUAUUUGUAACACCCCUUACCCGAGACCGUUUCCGGGGUCGAGCACGAGGCAUUACUUAGCUUAUCUUACUAAUUCGGAGCAUAAAAACUUGGUUUGAAAAUUUAUUUCACUAUUUACAGCAAUCUGUCUAAUCGCGCAGUAGUUACUAAAUUAAUUAUAACUUGAGAUACAGAACUCAAAAUUUAACUCUGUAAAAUUUUCCUAAAACUAGACUCAUAUAUCUACAUACCAUAAAAUUUUUAGAAUUUUUGGUUCAGCCAAUUAGUACAGUUUAUUAGUUAAAGUCUCCCCUGUUUCACCAUUUGACUGUUCUGACCUCUUGUUACUAAAAAUAACUUUUCUCAUUAUAGGAUUUUCAUAUGCUGUUCCCACUUGUUCCUACAGAAAAUAGACUCAUUAAGGAAUCUAAGCAUGUAAAUUUCAACUCAUAACCAUUUUUUUAUAAUUUUUAAUUAUUUUCUAAACCCAGAACAGGGGACUCCAAAAACAGUUCUGACCCUAUCUUACUAAAAUUCACUUAUCUUAAAAUAUAAAUUUCCUUUUGCUACACUAUUAUUUUUCCAUGAAAAUAGACUCAUUAAUAUUUAAUUCCAUAUAUCAUAAACCCUCUAAUUCAUUUUAUACCAUCCUAGGUGAUUUUUCAAAGUCACGUCACAGUGCUGCCUGAAUUCUGUUUCUUUGCAAAAUUUUACCCUUUUAUGAUUUCCAUGCAUAGUUUAUCACCUAAACUUUUAUAACAACAAACACUUCCAUACUUAACCAUUUUAGCAACCAUUCAUCAUCAAAUACUUACACAUCAUUCUUUAGCAAGAUCAUAAAUACAAACAUUUAGAAUAACUAAAUCCCUAUACAUGCCAUACUCAACACGGUUCAACAUAAAAAUACCGAGUUGCUGUGGUUGAUAGUGUGGACGAUCUCCGACUUCUUUAGGAUCCUUGAAGUAGCCUUGUAAUACUAUAAGAGAAAGAGAAAUAAAAGAUGUAAGCAUAAAGCUUAGUAAGUUUACUAGCAAAUAAAUAACAAUAUUUAACUCAAAUAGUUAAACUCAAAUGUCUAUAUCUCUAGUGUACUCUUUAGUUAAUCUCAUACUAGUUCUCUUGCUUGUUUACUUAACAUACUUGUGUGCAUAACUUACUCUUCUCUUGUUGCAUCGUUGAAUAUAAAUUGUUAAUAUAAUAAAUUCUUAACUCUUAUAACUCACCUGAGCUUGCCAUUUCUUAUCUUUAACUGAACUUUCAUGUACCUCAUUCGUUUACUAGCCCAUUGAACCACAUUGGAAUAAUAAGGAUACUCGGGUCUCUUCUGAUAAUAACAUGCCAAACCAUGUCCCAGACAUGAUCUUACAUGGGAUGUUCUCAUGUUGGUGCCCAUGCCAUGUCCCAGACAUGGUCUUAUAGGGGACCUCUCAUCUCGGUGCCAACGCCAUGUCCCAGACAUGGUCUUACAUGGGACCUCUCGUCUCGGUGCCCAUGCCAUGUCCCAGACAUGGUCUUACAGGGGACCUCUCAUGAUCUUAAGGAUGCCAACGCCAUGUCCCAGACAUGGUCUUACAUGGGAUCUCUUUACCCAAAUGUCAUGACAUUCGUAUCCAGUACCAUCCUUAUGUAUCAACGGGGCUUUUUAACUUCAAUUCUCUAUCAUUUCAUGCUUGGAUCAUCAUCAAAUAAAUUCAUAAAAUAAAUUCAUAAUUUCUGGAAAAUAACAGCAUUAAUAAUAAAUAUUGAAAUAUUGCAUUUAUUUACCGUAAACUUACCUCGGUACCAAUUAUAGCCAAAUUCACCAACUUAGUCUUCAACUUUAUUCUUCCCUUUGUCUAACCUCGAGUUUCGUUCUUCUUGAUCUAAAAUAGUAAAUUUAACUUAUUUAAUACUCACAUUCAUCAAAACAGCCCUCGACUCUAACUUUUUCAAAAUUACAAUUUUGCCCCUAAACUUUUACAUAAUUACAUUUUUGCCCCAAGGCUCGGAAAUUAAACUUCAUCUCUUAUUCUUAUGUUUUAUAACAUGCUGAACAUUUUUCCCUUAUAUGGAAACAUCAAAUUCCCACUCUAACAUGUACUUAUGAACAUUAGGUAUUUUUACCGAUUAUGUUGUUUUACUCGUUUUCACUUAAAAUCGCUUAGCAAAAGUUAUUUAACAUAAUUUCUAGCUUCAUAUUCUAUCAUAAAACUCAAAAUAGACACUUUUUACCUAUGGGUAUUUUUCCAAAUAUAAACCCUAGGUUAAAUUAUUGCUAGAAUAAGCUAAAUUAAGCUACCGGGAUCUAAAAAACGUAAAGAACAUUAAAAACGGGGCUUGGGAUCACUUACUAUGGAGCUUGGAAGCUUGAAAACCCUAACUAUGGCUUCCCCCCUUGCUAAUUUCGUUCAUAGGAAGAAGAUGAGCAUAAUUUUCCAUCUUUUUCCCUUUUAAUUCAUUUUAAUUACUAGAUUACCAAAUUGCCCCUAACUUAAAAAUUUUCUAUUUCACUUAUCUCAUGUCCAUUUUUGUCUACCAAGUUACCAAUGGUCUAAUUGCCAUAUAAGGACCUCCAAUUUAAAGUUUCAUAACAUUAUUAAUUUUUCACAAUGAUAGUAGCAUGUACUAUACACUUCACAUACGAUAUAGACAUAACACUUCAAUCAUUAAAUCACAAAUGCCAGAAAAACACAAUAUCAAUGACUUAAUUGAACAUAUAAAAACUCUAAAAAUAAUUCAGGGCAUAUAUAGGGACUAAAUUGAACAUAAUGUAAAUUUUUGGGAAAAACUAUAAAAUAGGGGUCAUAUGGCCGUGUGAGACGUUAUAGGUCGUGUGGAAGGGUUACACAGCCAUGUUGCUAGGCCGUGUAACAGGCUGUAGUCGUGUGUCAAAAGUUAAAAUUACCCCAUAGGAAGGACAAUACCGUGUAGUUCACGAACUGCGCUAGGGUUUUUAAUGUACAUGGUCAUAAUUCCAAGAGCAUUAUAUAUAUGUUGUGCUUGUUAUAGCCCGAAUAUUACUCUUAAUGAUAUGACUCAUUCUUGCAUGAGAUCUAUUUCAUUUUUUGGAAUUCUUCAACGCAUAUAUUCAUUAUUUUCGGGUUCUACAAAAAGAUGGAAAAUUUUGCUUGACAAUGUCCUUGAAUUAAUUGUGAAAUUUUUAUUUAUUACAUGUUGGGAGAGUCAAAUUAAAAGGGUUAAAGCUAUUAGAUUUCAAACUCCCCAAAUAAGUUUGGUUUUGUUUGAAUUAUAUGAAUCUUGUGAUGAUGCAAAGUCAAAGAGUGAAGUGGAGAGUUUGGUCAAUGCAUUUGGGAGUUUUGAGUUUUUGCUUGAUAUGGUAAUUUGAUAUGAAAUUUUAUUUGUUAUAAAUAUGGUGUACAAGAAAUUGCAAUCUAAGUCUAUGUGCACCGACACCAUCAUAAAGCAAUUAGAAGGUGUAUUGUCAUAUUUUGAAAAGUAUAGAGAUGAAGACUUUAUUUCUAGUAUGAAUAUUGCUAAAAGUAUUGCACUUGAUAUGGAUGUAGAGCCUACCCUUCCAACAAAGCAUUGUGUUAUUAGAAAAAAAAAUGAUGAGAAUAACCAAGAGGAUGAAGAAAUUCGAUCGGCUAAUGAAUUAUUUAGAGUUGAUUAUAUUUUAGUUAUUGAAGAGCAUAUUUGAGCAACUAAAAACAUUUGAAAAUAUUUUGGGGGGUUUUUAUUUGAUUCAAACAAGUUAAAGUCAUUGGAUGGAAAUGAAUUGAGAGAAUAUUGUGCUACUUUUCACUCUACCUUUUCUCAUGGUAAUUCAUCAGGUAUUGAUUUAAAUUAUCUUUUCUCUGAAUUGAAAGCGUUGCAAUUUACUUUACCGAAUGAAUUAAUGUCAACCACUAAAAUUCUUGAGUUUGUCAAAUCUAUAAAUUGCUAUCCGAAUGUUUCAAUUACUUAUAGAAUUUUUUUAACGGUCCUUGUGACUAUGGCAUCAAUGUCACAAGAACGAUUGAAUGGUUUGGCAAUUUUAUCAAUCGAGAAUGAUUUUUUUAGAAAAUAUUGAUGUUGAUGUUAUCAUUAAUGAUUUUGCAUCUAGGAAUGCUCGUAAAACCCCUUUUCUAUAAUUUUUGGAUUUUUGUAGUUGAUUACAUACGAGUAGAUUGAAUGAAAAAUAUAUAUUUUUAAAUUUUAUUAGAAAAUAUAUUGUUUGCUUAAUGUAAUAAAAUGUAUUAUUUUAAUGAAAUUACUAGUAUAUAUUUUUAUUUUAUUUUAUUUUUUUAAAAAUGGAUCCCAAUUUAUUGUUUCACCAUGAAUCCCAAAAAUAUCAAAAACGAAUCUGGAAAUUAUGAUUUAGAUCAAAAGUAUUAUUUCAACAAGUGAAGGCUUCAAAGGAAUACUUUCAAUCAAAUAUCUCAAAUUCGAAAAUAUAGAACUAGUUUAAAUUGGUAGAAUUAGCCACAGAAUAAAAGAUAGGACCACUAAUGUUCAAACAAACCAUUUUCAGACACAUCAAACUAUUCAAGUUUAAACACGUUUAUUGCUUUGCAAGUCAAGGUCUUCCUUCUAUCUUUUGGAGCCCAGUUACCCACCCGGAAACCAUUGCUGUCUUCGUCCUGAAUUUCUCCAUUAAGACCAUUCCACAAAACACCCUCAAAAAAGGUGGUGGGUCAGAUUAAAUUCCAAAGGUGCAUGUCUUUCUAACUUUUCUAGGCUUUUGCAUUGGGGUUAUACCACUUCCUUGGCAUCUAAUACCUUGGUAUUCGAAAAUUAUUACUUUGAUUCAUACCAGAAACAAUUACCAUGGCUGAAUCCUUUGCAUUCGAGAUCGCCGGAAAAGUAUUGGAGAAACUAGGGAGUGCUGCCUAUGAAAGAAUUAACUUGGCAUGGGGUGUUCGAGAGGAGUUUGAAAAGCUUAAGCUGACCCUAGCUGCUAUCAGAGCUGUGGUCCUGGAUGCUGAACAACAACAGGCUCGUACCCAGGAGCUCAGUCUUUGGCUACAAAGGUUCAAAGAUGCUUGCUACAACGUGGAAGAUUUGAUAGACGAGUUCGAGAUCCAAGCGUUGAGGAAGCUAGUCCUGGAACGGGGAAGCACUGGAAGGAAGGUACGCCAUUUCUUUUCUGGCUCUAAUCCUUGGGCAUUUAGCUUUAGGAUGGGCUAUAAGAUCAAAAAGGCUAACGAGAUGUUGAAUAAGAUUGCAGCUGAAAAGGCCAAGUUUCAUCUGACUGAAAAACAUGAAACUAAUGUCAUACAUCGUGAGAGGGAAACCUACUCCUUUGUUAAGACAUCUAGUGUCAUCGGUCGAGAUGAAGCUAAACAACACCUAGUUAACUUCUUAAUGAAUCCAACUGAUGGGGAAGAUCUCCCUGUCCUUCCCAUAGUUGGGAUCGGAGGUAUUGGGAAAACUACCCUGGCCCAAUUGGUGUUUAACGAGGAGAGUGUGAAGUCGCAUUUUGAAUUGAGAAUCUGGGUGUGUGUUACAGAGGAUUUUGACAUGAAACAACUGAUGAUAAAAAUCAUUAAAUCUGCCACUGGUAUGAACUGCAAGGACAUGAAUAAGGAGGAAUUACAUAAAGUUUUGCAAGAUUGUUUGAAUGGUAAAAGAUUUUUUAUGGUACUAGAUGAUGUCUGGAACGAGGACAAGAAGAAAUGGAGUGAGCUGAAAGAUUUGUUGUGUGGGGGAGCCCAAGGGAGUAGAAUCAUUGUCACAACUCGUAGCCGCAAAGUGGCUACAAUCACAGGCACAAUCCCUCCAUACGAUUUAGAGCAUCUUUCUUACGACAGUUGUCUAUCAUUGUUUCUUAAACUUGCAUUUAAAGAAGGUGAAGAGAAACAACAUGACAAUCUUGUAAGAAUCGGGGAAGGAAUUGUUCAAAAAUGCAAAGGGGUUGCUUUGGCCGUGAAGACUUUAGGCAGCCUACUCUGUUCAACUAGGGUACAACAUGAUUGGGAACUUGUGAGAGAUAGUGAGCUAUGGAAGUUGAAGCAGGAGGAAAAUGACAUCUUGCCUGCUCUAAAACUAAGUUAUGAUCAUUUGCCCUGGUAUUUAAAGCAAUGUUUCGCCUUUUGUUCAGUUUUUCCAAAAGAUUUUGAAUUCAAUCCUCUCUAUUUGAUCCCGUUGUGGAUGGCAAAUGGCUUUUUGCAAUCACCAUACGAAAAUGAAGAGCCAGAAGAUAUUGGGAAUCGGUAUAUACAAGAGUUACUAUCAAGAUCUUUCUUCCAACAAGUUGAAGAUAAGUUUUUAACUUUCACCUUCAAAAUGCAUGAUCUAGUACAUGAUCUUGCAUUAUCAGUAGUGCAAAAUGAGGUGAAUUCAUGUAACCAUUAUUCAACUGGGAAUGUUCGACAUUUAUUGUUUGAUCUAUUGAAGCAAGAUGGUUCGCAGUUACCGAAUAACUUGAGCUGUCUGCAAUCACUUUUCUUAUUAGAUGAAGAAGGCAAGGCUGAUAGCGAAUCUCUUAUUGCCAAAGUCAUCUCAAGGUCUAAACAUUUGAGGGUGCUACAUAUGUCUGGCUGCAGUUUUGAGCAUUUGCCAAACAAUAUACGUUAUUUAAAGCAGUUGAGAUAUUUGAACCUGGCCUACAAUGGAAAUAUAAAGAGACUUCCAAAUUCCAUUUGCAAUUUGCAGAGUUUGGAAAUACUUGACCUCGGUGGAUGUACGAGAAUUGAAGAGUUACCAAAAGACAUAAGGUACCUGAUUAGCCUUAGAAAAUUAAUGGUAACAACAAAACAGACACGUUUGCAAGAGAAUGGUAUAUGUUGCCUAAGUACUCUUCGGAUUUUGGCCUUCUUUGAAUGUGAAAAUUUAGAAAAGUUGUGUGAAGACAUUCAAAACCUAACAGCCCUCCGAGAAUUGUACAUCGAAGAAUGCAACAACUUGGUUUCAUUGCCACAAGGUUUAAAAUACCUAACUACAUUAGAAAAUUUGGCAAUUGUAAAUUGUGAAAAGCUUGAUCUCACUAUGGAGGAGUUGGAACUUGAGAGGAAAGAAGAUGGUAGCCUUCGAAAAUUGUGGAUUGGAGGAGUGCCAAAGCUGGAGUCACUACCCCAAUGGAUCCUUCUAGGAUCCACCAAAACUUUGCAGCACUUGUAUAUUGGAGAAUUGGAGAAUGUCUCGAGGUUACCAACGUGGUUCCAAGAUCUCACAUCCCUUCAAAGUCUAUACAUUAAAAAUUGCCCAAAGCUGUCGUCUCUGGCAGAAGGGAUGCAACACCUCACUGCACUCAAAAGACUAAUGAUUGGAGGGUGUCCAAAAUUAAGCAAAAGAUGCAUUGAAGAAACCGGUGAAGACUGGCCUAAGAUUGCUCAUGUCGUUGACAUUAUUGUGGAGUCAUGAAGGCCUCAAUAACAUAUGAUGAAAACAUAAUGUAAGUCACCAAACACUAAUCUAUUUGAUACAUAUAUCUUAUUAACUUUUUAAAUGUUAAUAUUUCUAAAUUAAAUUAGGCUCCAAAUACUACUUUAUUUCUCAUUAAGAUAAUUGAAUUUUAUCUACUCUAAAGCAAAUAAAACUUCACUCAUAAUUAGUAUUAAAAUUUUACUCAAAAUGUUAGUAAAAAUAUUAUCAGUUAGAACUUGAGAAGAAAGAAGAUGGUAGCCUUCGGAAUUUGUGGAUUGGAGGAGUGUCAAAGCUGGAGUCACUACCCCAAUGGAUUCUUCUAGGAUCAACCAAAACUUUGCAGCGCUUGUACAUCGGUAACUUGGAGAAUGUCUCGACGUUACCAAUGUGGUUCCAACAUCUCACAUCCCUUCAAAGUCUUAACAUUAUAAAUUGCUCAAAGUUGUUGUCUCUACCAGAAGGGAUGCAACACCUCACUGCAAUCAAAAAAUUAAGGAUCGAAGGGUGUCCAAAAUUAAGUAAAAGAUGCAUUGAAGAAAGUGAAGACUGCCUAAGAUUGCUCAUGUCCCUAAGAUUUUUGGAAGAAACAGAUGAUAUAAGGUAAGUCAUCGAACACUACUCUAUUUUAUAUAUAUCUUAUUAGCUUUUAAAUUUAAUAUUUCUAAAUUAAAUUAUGUACCAAAUAUUACUCUAUUUUUCAUUACCAUAAUUGAAUUUUAUUUACUCGAAAGCAAAUAAAUCUUCAUUUAAAAAAUUGGCAUUACAAAUUUACUUAAAAUAUUACUUCCAAUUUACAUCUCAUCCUUUUAAAUGAUAAAAGUUGAAGAAAAAAUAGUACAACGCCUCAAUUUAAUGUUAUGGUAGAGUUUUUCUAACUGAACUUUUGUAUCUUUUAAGGUGGAUCAAUUAGGACUGAAAUAUAGCAUCCGGUCGAGCUCUUCUUUAGUGCCAAUGUUGAAGUUGGCCUCCAUGCAAACAAAGAAGCAAGGAAGCUGUCCGAGCCUUGCAGGUGCAGCUGAAGCUCAUGCUGCUGUUGUGUUUCAUUUUGUUUUUUGUUACUUCAAUUGAUGUUUUGUAACUUAGUUAGAUAUGAACUAAGUUGUUAAUGUACUUGAUGUAAUUUGUUGAUGUUUGAGCUGAUAAAUCAGCUUUACCAAGUGUGCAAGUUUUGGUUAAAAAUCAUUAAAUCUGCCACCGGCAGAGAGUGCAAGGACAUGAAUAAGGAGGAAUUACAUAAAGUUUUACAAGAUUGUUUGAAUGCUAAAAGAAUUUUUAUGGUCCUGGAUAAUGUCUGGAACGAGGACAAGAAGAAAUGGAGUGAGCUGAAAGAUUUGUUGUGUGGGGGAGCCCAAGGGAGUAGAAUCAUUGUCACAACUCGUAGCCGCAAAGUGGCUACAAUCACAGGCACAAUCCCUCCAUACGAUUUAGAGCAUCUUUCUUAUGACGAUUGUCUAUCAUUGUUUCUUAAACUAUUACAACCUACAUACCUGGUUUUUUUUAAAGAAAAACAUCCAGCUUCCCAAAUUCUUUUCAGCACCUUCACAAAAUGUUAGCCCACAAUUAUUUACCCCCCACAGCUUACAUGAUAAGCUGUACCACCAUCAACACGUUGGAACUCGAUGUCUACCUUUUCCGCUUGGACUUCAAGGAGGUGACCGACUGGGAAUUGCUGUGCCAAUUGCGCUUCCUUUGGUUGAUGAACCAGUUGUUGAUUUGCUUUAGUUGCAAUCCAGUUUCCUCCACAAGUUUGGCCUUGUCAUCUUCCUGCAUUUUGUCAACUCAUUAAUUUAUUCAAGGGUUUAUGUUUUGGCAAAAAUAUAUAUAUAUAUUUAAUUGGAAGUUGAUGUUUAGUUGGUUACAGUUGGGUAUGGCCACUUUGAAUAGUCAAUCUGUUUUUUUAGUUCCAACAGGCAAGAUAAUAAUUAUGAAUUGUCAUUGACUCCUCCAACUUGGGUCGAAAAAACAAUGCGACUUGAUAAUUAUCAAAUUGACCGUAAUCUUCUUUUGUCCUUAGGAGUCCAUCACAAUCUUAAAUGCUUUCUUAUAUAUGUUAAAAUUAGUUUUUGAAUUGUUUGGUUUCCAAUGUUUAUUGGUAAUCUGAUUUUGUAUUAGAGACAAUGAUGUAAUAAUUUGAUUUUUUUAUGUGUACGAGUGUAAUCAUCUCUAAUUUGCUAUGACUAAAAGGAAAGUUCAAAGGUUUUAAUUUAGGUUAAAAUAUGGCUAACUGCUUCUAAUACCCGUAAACUAUAUUAUGGUUGAGCUUUAUUUGCAAUGGGUGUUUAAUCAUGGACUUAAAAGUUCAAAGUUCAAAGGAGAGGAUUUAUUAAACCAAAACAGGUUUUUAGCGGCAUUUUUUAGAAGCGUCGCUAAUGCUCGAGUCUUUAGCGGUGCUUUGUCAAAAAUGCCGCUAAAGCUCAGGUCUUUAACGGCGCUUUUUCAAAAACGCUGCUAAUGCUCGUGUCUUUAGCGGCGCUAAUCCCAAAUUGAUCCUCCAUGCCAAAAUGAGCGGAAAUGAGUUUAAAAGAUGUCCAAAACAUUAACAUUUAAACAUUUGUUAAGAAUUUUUCUUUUGUUUUCAAUAUAAAUGGCUUAAAAAAUGAAAAAAAGUCUUAAACUUUGUUUGAUUAAAAAUUUUUGUAUAUAAAAAGGAACAUCUUUAAAUUUAUGUGGAUGGUUUUUAUUUAGUUUCAUUAAUAUGGGGAGAUUAAAGAUUGGUGGAGAUUUUACCUAACAAAUUAUUAUAGAAAGAGAGAAUAUGGAUUUAACUCCUUUUGAGAAUCCAUUCCCCAAUGAGUUGUAUGGUGUAUCAAUUACGCAUGUAUGAAUAUAUUUUCCUUCCACCAUGUGCUGCCACGAAACUUAGAGCCAAUAUUGUGGAUUCCCGGAGAAUUAGAAGAUAAAAGAAAACCUAUGGGAGAUUCCUGUAAGGGUUACUGGUUUAAGAUUGGUUUUGGAUUUUGCAGGAAAGAUAUGCUGCAUCAAUUACACAUGUGGAUUUAAUACAAGUUGGAUCAUUUUCCUCAUCAGCUAACAUUUUCUUAUGCUAGUUUAGAUCCAAAUCCACACACCCAAUUUUGAUUUGCGCUUCCAUCAAACUAAUUCUUUUUACUGUAAAAAACAUAUUAUUUCAGUAAUAAAUGUUGAAUCAACCUUAUUUUAAUAAUAAAUUAUUUUAUUCCUUUUACUAUAGUAUUUUUUUCCCAUCAUGUUGAUUUAGGUAUAGUUUGGAUAGACAUUGCAUUUACUUGUGUUUAGUAUAAAAACAACAGUGACGAUAAAAUUAGAUAAAAGUGAACUAAUUGCACCGCACUAGCCAUCCAAAUCCAAGUAUCAUACUCUUCUUUUAGUUUUUUUUAAACCCUAAAUAAGAAAGACAACCUCAUUUAGCGAAGUCAUUAACCCCUUUCUUAAAUUUCCAUAAUAAAACUCGUACCCUAUUCAAAAACCCUAUUUUAACAAAAUUCAACUAUCUUUGAAUUAUUCGUAACUCUAUAUUUGUAAUACAGACAUGGUGAUCAGUUAGACCUUUAAUUACUUAACAUACUUUUUUUUUAUUGACUCCUUUAAUUUUAAUUUAAUAAUUUUAUAAUUUAAUCUAAAGAGGUCAAAUUCGAAUUAUUGUUUUGAUAUAAUUUUUAAUUUAACAAGAGCUAAAUCAUACUUUAUAGGAUUUGAACCUUGGACGAUAGGUUUUGAAGACCCACAUGCUACCGAACUAAACUAAUAUCACUUUCUUAUCAUAAUAAAUAAAAUUGUAAAAAAAAUCCUUUUAUUUUAUAACCCUAAUACAAUACAUUGUAUGUUGUAUAUAUAUAAUAUGAGAAAAUGAUAGAUUGAGCAAAAUUGCAUCAUAGGUUGUGUUCAAAAUUCAAAUUCUUUUUGGUUUAGAGGGUUUUAUGUUUGGUUAGUGAUAAGUUUUUUCUUUCGCAUGUGAUUUAUCUUUUCGAUACGUAGGGUGAAGGAUUUAAAUUGUGGAAUGGUUGGUUUAUAUAAGCAGCUUAAGGUAAGAAAAGAAAAGCAAGAUAAAAUUUGAAAGAUGAUCCCAUUGUUGACUGAUUCAUUUACUGCGAGCUUCUCCCUCGAAUUGUAGCGACACUGAUGUACAAAAUAUUUCAAAGAUGUACAAAUUUUUCGAGCUUAAAAACUACAUUGAGUGUAUUUUCAUAGGAGUUCAGUUGAUUUAAAAACUACAUUAAAUGGUUUAGGAUUUAAGGUUUACUUCAGAUUUAUUAAAUGAUGAAAUUUUAUACAAUAAAUUUAUACUUUUAUAUUUAAAAAUAUUUAAUCUAAAACAUUCGAUAUAUUUAAAUAUUAGAUUUAAAAAAAUUGAUAAAUAAAUAAAGUCACUUAACUAAUAAUUUUUAGUAGAUAAAAUAAAAAAAAUUUAACAGAACAAAACGACGUUAUUUUAUUCAAAAUAAAAUAAUUUUUGCGGUAUUUUUACAAAAAACGCCGCAAUAGAUAAGUAAUAAUGGCGUUUUUUGUAAAAACGUCACAAAAUUUAUUUUACCUAGAUAAAAAAUUGGCGCUGCUUUUUCCCAAAUUUCCCCCCUAAAACCCCUAACUUUGCAAACAAAAUGAAAAAAAGAAGAGGAAAAUGGAGGUACCAAAGACGAUUCAGCACAAAACCUCUCCAAUCUACUUACGAGUUCUACCGUUUGUUUCCCUGAAAAAUAUAUGAGACUUAAUAUUUUCUGUUCCAUUUUUCCUCUUUAUUUUCUAAUUUUGGGUAUUAUUUACUCAGAUCCCCUUUCUUUUUAUUAUUGUUUUUUUUCUCUUAUAUUUUAGCUAGAAAUCGAUGAUGCAAGUUACUGUUGGUCUCAUUGCUGCUGGUAACAAGUUAUUGCUUAAAAUUCAUGGUAACAAAUCUACUUCAAAGGAAGUUAUUCAUAUUCCUUCGUAUCGAAGCGAAGUCAUUUACGGUGGUACUUGGUUCUCCAGCUCUCGUAAGUUUGUUCCCAGUUUUGUAUUUGCCAUCUAUACCAGGUUUACCUCUCUUACUUCUCUUCGUCUUCAUCUCCCUUUCAUUUAUUCGAUAUAAUGCUUCUUUAUACAAUUUGUUUCUGGUUUUCAGGGGGUGUUGUCUGUAAGAUGUUGAAGCAAGCGAUAUGGAAGGUGUUGAGCAAAAGGGUAGUUUCAGAUUCGGGUGAUAAACUUCUUUUGCCUUGUUUGUACUUGCCCACGCUAAAAAACGCCGCCAAAAGCUUAAAAAAGUGCCGCUAAAAGCCUUUUUUGGUGUAGUGAUUCUUUUACGGGCAGAAAAAAAGAAUCCCUCAUGCUUAGGGCUAAGAUUGGAAGGACCAAAUCUGAAUACAAGCAACACCUAAGUUUACAAUUAGAUAAAUGCAUUAAAAAGGUUUACUUAAAAAUGUUGUUAAAUUUUGGGUUCAAAUUAAAUAAAAGAAUGAAAUGGACUAAAAAUUUCUCAUGUUUUAGCAUCUUCACUUUAGGUAACUCUCUUAGAGGAGGGAAAUUUUGUUUAGGGUACAUAUUGUUUAAUAAUAGACAUCAAAAGUGAACUAUAAAAUUUUUCUCAGAUAUUUUCUAGGUAAUGUGUCCUUAUUUAUUUUAUAUGAUUAAAAAGUUAACAAAAUCUAGAUUCUUGUGCUCUAAGUGAUUCUCGAUUUAAUGUUUUAAUAAUAUUCAUUUAUAUAGAUUAAUAGUAGAACUAUGCUUUUAACAAGUUCAGAUUAUACUUGUUGAGCAAGAGUCGCUCAUUCUUUUAUCCCCUUUUUCCUUUCAAAUAUACAGUGGAGAAGUUUGGUAUUUUAGAAGUUGGAAUGUAAUAGUAUGUGUCGGAAAUGAUAGUUUCAGAACCUCAUUUCCAAUGAUCAAGUUCGUAAAUAUUAUUAUUUAAUAUUUAUGAGGUUAGUAUAGAGGUUAAUUGGAAAUUAGUCUUUCAAUUUUGUCAAUCGAAUAGUUAAUUAAAGUAUAAGGAUUAAAUUCUAAAAGUAAUAAAAGUUAAUCGUUAUAAAUUUUUAGUUAACCGAAUGACCAAUUAAACAAUUGGGUAUUUUUAAAUGAUUUAAAUAAUUAAAUAUAAAUUCUUAUGAUCAUAAAAAAGCAAUUCAAAAAUAAUAUUGUAACAUAAAAUAGAUAAAAAAAUUUAUAAUUUAAAUAAAUAAAUGUCAUGUUAUCUUUAUUCCAUAUAUUUAUAAAUUUGAUUGAUUUAAUUUAAUUGAAGUAAAUAUAAAAUUGAAUUAAAAUUGAAUAUAUAUUAACUAAUUAAAUUCAUAAAUUUGAUUAAUUAAAUUAAAUUAAAUAUAAAAAAUUAAAAGUGAAGGUAUAUUAAAUAUGUAUUAAUUUUUUGUCUUUGAUCCCACCCAAAUUUCAAUUAAAUAAUUUUUAAUAUAUUUUCAUUUAAAUUUAAUUAUAAAAUAUUGAUAAUAAUAUAAAAUUAAAUAUUUAUUUUUUAAUAUUUUAAAUUAUUAAAAAUCAAAUAAUGGAACAAAAUUUUUUUUUAACAAAGAUUAUACCAUUAUUUUACUAUUAGCUAAAAUGUGGUAAAUAAUAUAUUUGCUUUAUUGCAUUUCUUAAUACCAUUUAUUAUUGAAAUUUAAUUAUAGAAAUGAGACUCAUUUUAAAUAUAAUUAAAAAAUAUUUUAAGUUUAGUUUCUUCUUUUAUAUUAUAUAUACAAUAUAUUAUUUUUAUUUAUAUAAAAAAUUAAAAAUUAAUUAUUAUCUUGACAUUUUGGAUUUGUCGGCUUGUAAUUUCAAGCACCAGUCCUGAUUCCCAUAGUUGACAUUAUUUUCCAGUCUAAAGCUGCAAGAACUGCCCUCCUUGGCAUCUAAUACCGUGGUAUCCGAAAAGUAUUACUAAAAUUCAUACCAAAAACAAUUACCAUGGCUGAAUCCUUUGCAUUCGAGAUAGCCGGAAAAGUAUUGGAGAAACUAGGGAGUGCUGCCUGUGAAAGAAUUAGCUUGGCAUGGGGUGUUCGAGAGGAGUUUGAAAAGCUUAAGCUGACCCUAGCUGCUAUCAGAUCUGUAGUCUUGGAUGCUGAGCAACAACAGGUUCGUAGCCUGGAGCUCAGUCUUUGGCUACAAAGGUUCAAAGAUGCUUGCUACGACGUGGAAGAUUUGAUAGACGAGUUCGAGAUCCAAGCGUUGAGGGGGCUAGUCCUGGAACGGGGAAGCACUGGAAGGAAGGUACGCCAUUUCUUUUCUGGCUCUAAUCCUUGGGCAUUUAGCUUUAGGAUGGGCUAUAAGAUCAAAAAGGCUAACGAGAUGUUGAAUAAGAUUGCAGCUGAAAAGGCCAAGUUUCAUCUGACUGAAAAACAUGAAACUAAUGUCAUACAUCGUGAGAGGGAAACCUACUUCUUUGUUAAGACAUCUAGUGUCAUCGGUCGAGAUGAAGCUAAACAACACCUAGUUAACUUCUUAAUGAAUCCAACUGAUGGGGAAGAUAUCCCUGUCCUUCCCACAGUUGGGAUCGGAGGUAUUGGGAAAACUACCCUGGCCCAAUUGGUGUUUAACGAGGAGAGUGUGAAGUCGCAUUUUGAAUUGAGAAUCUAGGUGUUUGUUACAAAGGAUUUUGACAUUAAACAACUGAUGAUAAAAAUCAUUAAAUCUGCCACUGGUAUGAACUGCAAGGACAUGAAUAAGGAGGAAUUACAUAGAGUUUUGCAAGAUUGUUUGAAUGGUAAAAGAUUUUUUAUGGUACUAGAUGAUGUCUGGAACGAGGACAAGAAGAAAUGGAGUGAGCUGAAAGAUUUGUUGUGUGGGGGAGCCCAAGGGAGUAGAAUCAUUAUCACAACUCGUAGCCGCAAAGUGGCUACAAUCACAGGCACAAUCCCUCCAUACGAUUUAGAGCAUCUUUCUUAUGACAAUUGUCUAUCAUUGUUUCUUAAACUUGCCUUUAAAGAAGGUGAAGAGAAACAACAUGACAAUCUUGUAAGAAUCGGGGAAGGAAUUGUUCAAAAAUGCAAAGGGGUUGCUUUGGCCGUGAAGACUUUAGGCAGCCUACUCUGUUCAACUAGGGUACAACAUGAUUGGGAACUUGUGAGAGAUAGUGAGCUAUGGAAGUUGAAGCAGGAGGAAAAUGACAUCUUGCCUGCUCUAAAACUAAGUUAUGAUCAUUUGCCCUGGUAUUUAAAGCAAUGUUUCGCCUUUUGUUCAGUUUUUCCAAAAGAUUUUGAAUUCAAUCCUCCCUAUUUGAUCCCGUUGUGGAUGGCAAAUGGCUUUCUGCAAUCACCAUACGAAAAUGAAGAGCCAGAAGAUAUUGGGAAUCGGUAUGUACAAGAGUUACUAUCAAGAUCUUUCUUCCAACAAGUUGAAGAUAAGUUUUUUACUUUCACCUUCAGAAUGCAUGAUCUAGUACAUGAUCUUGCAUUAUCAGUAGUGCAAAAUGAGGAGAAUUCAUGUAACCAUUAUUCGACUGGGAAUGUUCGACAUUUAUGGUUUGAUCUAUCGAAGCAGGAUGCUUCCCAGUUGCCAAAUAACUUGGGUUGUCUGCAAUCACUUUUCUUAUUAGAUGAAAAAGGCAAGGUUGAUAACGAAUCUCUUAUUGCAGAAGUCAUCUCAAGGUCUAAACAUUUGAGGGUGUUAGAUUUGUCUGAUUGUAGUUUAGAGCAAUUGCCAAACAACACAAGUUCUUUAAAGCAGUUGAGAUUUUUGAGCAUAGGCUCCAUUGGAAAUAUUAAAAGACUUCCAAAUUCCAUUUGCAAUUUGCAGAGUUUGCAAACACUUGACUUUUCUGGAUGCAGGGGAAUUGAAGAGUUACCAAAAGACAUAAGGUACCUGAUUAGCCUUAGACAAUUAACGGUAACAACAAAACAGACGCGUUUGCAAGAGAAUGGAAUAUCGUGCCUCACUUGUCUUCGAACGUUGGUCUUUUCUGAAUGUGAAAAUUUAGAAAAAUUGUUUGAAGACAUUCAAAACCUAACAGCUCUUCGAGAAUUGUACAUAUAUGAAUGCCACAACUUGGUUUCAUUGCCACAAGGUUUAAAAUACCUACCUACAUUAGAAGUUUUGAUAAUUUUAGCUUGUGAAAAGCUUGAUCUCACUAUGGAGGAGUUGGAACUUGAGAGGGAAGAAGGACGUGGUAGCCUUAGAAAUUUGUGGAUCGAAGGAGUGCCAAAGCUGGAGUCACUACCCCAAUGGAUCCUUCUAGGAUCCACCAAAACUUUGCAGCGCUUGUGUAUUGGAGAAUUGGAGAAUGUCUCGAGGUUACCAACGUGGUUCCAAGAUCUCACAUCGCUUCAAAGUCUUCUAAUUGCAAAUUGCCCAAAGUUGUUGGUUCUGCCUCAAGGGAUGCACCACCUCACUGCACUCAAAAGAUUAAUUAUUCAAGGGUGUCCAAAAUUAAGCAAAAGAUGCACUGAAGAAACCGGUGAAGACUGGCCUAAGAUUGCUCAUGUCCCUGACUUUUAUUGUGACGAAGCAGAUGACGAAUAGAUAAGGUAAGACACCAAAUACUAUAUAUCAAUAUAUAUAUAUAUACACUCUAUUUUUCACUAACAUAAAUGAAUUUUAUUUAAUCUGAAAUAUAAUGUCUCAAUUUAAUGUUAUGGCAGGGUUCUUCUGAUGGAAUUUAUUUGUCUAUUAAAGUGGAGGAUGUUGAAGUUGUCUUGGAUUGGUUCUUAUAUGUGUCAACGUCUUUGAGUUGUUCAAUUUCCAUUGUUUGUUUGUAAUUUGAUUUGUAUCAAAGACCAUUGAUAUAAUAUAUUUACUUUAUUGUAUUUUGGAACUCAAAGAAUUAAUUCAGAACUCUAUGUUUACAUAUAUAUUUUAGUUCUAUCUUUUAUAUUAUAUAUAUGAUACAUGAUUUUUAUUUUAUAUAAAAGUUUUUAAAAAAUAAUUGUUUUUUUAUAAGUUGACAUCAUUAUCAAUUAAUGUGUUGUUUCAUGUAUUAAUAAUUGUUGCGGAAAGGAUCGAUUCGAGAACUCCGAUAUGACUACAAGUAAAUUGACCGAAACGAAAAAUAAAGUGAACACAAGGAUUUACGUGGUUCGGCUUUAAUGCCUACGUCCACGGGCAGAGGCGAAAAGAAAUUUCACUAUAACAAGAUGAAGAUUACAAGUGUUUUACACUCAAGACACAACCCGAGAACCUCACAACUCUCAACCCCUAUAGAAAACCCGAAAGCUAAAAUCCUAGCUUUCAAAGAACAAGCUUUGCUCUCUCUUGGUUUGGGAUGAUAAAUAUGGCUAAUGAACCUCUCUAUUUAUAAGAGAGUUCAAGGACAUAAUUGUCCAAAACUUUGGCAAAGAUUUGUGGUUGAAAAUGGACACCAACAACCAUCCACUAAUCCACUACCACCAACAACCCACUACCAACAACAACAAUCCACUACCAAUUUUAAGCCAUUUCUUAACAAAUCUCCACCUUGGCUUGAAAUUUACCAAGCUGAACAUCAUAGUGAACUGGAUCACCUCUUCCAAACGCCUCUCUGGCGCUAAUCAAUCCCGAAUACCUAUCAAGUCCAAGCAAUGCUUGAACUUAUAUGCAGGGAUCACCUUAGUUAACAUAUCUGCAGGAUUCUUCUCGGUAGCAACCUUGCUGAUAACAAUGUCACCUUGCGUAACAUGUUCCCGAACAAAAUGAUAUCUGACAUCAAUGUGUUUGGUCCGUUCAUGAAACAUCUGAUUUUUAGUCAGAUGUAUGGCACUCUGGCUAUCGCAAAAUACAACAGUGAAAUCCUGUUGUAAACCCAAACUGCUUACUAGACCUUUCAUCCACAAUGCUUCUUUCACUGCUUCUGCUAACGCCAUAUAUUCCGCCUCAGUCGUAGAUAAGGCUACGGUAGACUGUAACACAGCUUUCCAACUAAUGGCUCCUCCAGAAUAAGUGAAAACAUAACCCGUCAGAGAUCUUCUUUUGUCCAGAUCUCCAGCAUAAUCAGAGUCCGCAUAGCCCGUGACACUGCUAGUGCAGUCACUCUGAUCAUAUACCAAGCAUAAAUCUGCAGAACCUCUCAAGUACCUGAGAAUCCAUUUCACGGCCUGCCAGUGUUCCUUGCCAGGACAACUCAUGUAUCUGCUGACCACACUAACUGCAUGUGAAAUGUCUGGACGAGUGCAAACCAUUGCAUACAUCACGCUUCCAACUGCACUCGAGUAUGGAAUGUGAGACAUUUGCUGCUUUUCUUCAUCAGAUUGUGGUGACAACUCUGCAGAGAGUUUGAAAUGUGGUGCCAACGGAGUACUCACAGUUUUCGCUUUAUCCAUGCCGAAGCGUUGAAGAACCUUUUCAAUGUAGUUCUUCUGCGACACACGAAGCUUGCCCGCCUUGCGAUCUCUGUGAAUAUCCAUGCCCAAAAUUUUCUUGGCAGCACCCAGAUCCUUCAUCUCGAACUCACCACUCAACUGCGACUUUAACUUGUUGAUUUCCGACAUGUUUUUGGAAGCAAUUAACAUGUCAUCAACAUACAGCAACAAAUAAAUGUGCGAACCAUCUGAGAGCUUCCGAUGAUAGACACAAGCAUCAUAGUCACAUCUUGUGUAACCAUGCUGAAUCAUGAAGCUAUCAAACCGCUUGUACCACUGCCUUGGGGAUUGUUUCAAUCCAUAUAAAGACUUCUUUAAUAGACAGACAUGGUCUUCUUUACCAGGAACUGUAAAACCCUCUGGUUGACGCAUGUAGAUUGUUUCCUCGAGCUCACCAUGCAAGAACGCCGUUUUUACGUCAAGCUGCUCAAGUUCUAGAUCAGACUUGGCCACCAUGGCAAGUAAUAUACGAAUGGAAGAAUGCUUUACGACUGGGGAGAAAACUUCAUUGUAGUCAAUCCCCUCUUUCUGAGUGAAGCCUUUAGCAACCAAUCGUGCCUUGAAUCUAGUUGCUUCAACCCCUAGGAUGCCUUCCUUUUUCUUGAAGACCCAUUUGCAACCAACUAUCUUCUGGUUACUUGGCGGCUUAACCAACUCCCAAGUAUGGUUCUUGUGAAGAGAUUCUAUCUCCUCACUCAUAGCAAUUGCCCACUGUGCCGACUCAUCACACGUGACAGCCUCAUUAUAACUGGAAGGUUCUAUACCAAUGGACUCCGCCACACUGAGCGCGAAAGACACCAGAUUAGCGUAACGCGGAUUUGGUUUGAUUUGUCUCUUCGUUCUUCCAGUGGCAAUGCUAUAUGGUUUUUCUUGAGGUGACUCAUCUUCAUCGGAAUCUUGCACCUCAACUUGAUCAUCCUGGACUGAAGUACCUUCCGUAGGAAUUGGAGCGUCCACCUGACACUCCACCUGCUUCUCAACACCGUGAUCUCCCAUUCUAUCUGACUCCUCCUUUUCCCGGGAAUUUGUGGUGGAUCGAAGCAUGGAUGACUCAUCAAAAGUCACAUCUCUGCUGAUGAUGAACUUGGACGAAACCGGAUCAGGACACCACAACCUGUAUCCUUUCACCCCUUGGCCGUAUCCAAGAAAUAUGCAUUUCUUCGCCCUCGGUUUGAGUUUUCCCUCAUUUACAUGAGCAUACGCAGGGCAGCCAAACACUCUUAAACCAGAGUAAUCAGCAGGAGAACCAGACCAUACUUCCUCAGGAGUCUUCAGCUCAAUAGCUGUUGACGGAGAUCUGUUAACCAAAUAACAAGCAGUAUUAACAGCUUCAGCCCAAAAUUCUUCACCGAGCCCAGCAUUUGAUCGCAUGCAACGAGCUCGCUCCAAGAGAGUUCUAUUCAUGCGUUCUGCAACUCCAUUUUGUUGUGGUGUUCGACGAACAGUGCGGUGUCUCACUAUUCCUUCAUUCUUGCAGAACUCAUUGAAUUCACCUGAGCAAAACUCCAAGCCAUUAUCCGUCCGGAAUCGCUUGAUCUUCUUUCCUGUUUGAUUUUCGAUCAAAGCUUUAAAUUGCUUGAAGUUGAUGAGAACCUCAUACUUGCUCUUCAGAAAAUACACCCAAACCUUUCUCGAGUAAUCAUCGAUAAAGGUAAGCAGAUAUCUGUAACCACCUUUAGAAAUUGUCGGAGAAGGCCCCCAAAGGUCAGAAUGGAAGUAAUCCACUGUGCCUUUUGUCUUGUGAAUCCCAGUGCUGAACUUUACCCGAGUCUGCUUACCGAAGACGCAGUGCUCACAGAAAUUCAACUUUCCUGUACACUGCCCAGACAAUAAUCCUCGUUUGCUUAGCACCGAUAAGCCUCUCUCGCUCAUAUGCCCGAGCCGCAUAUGCCAUAACUUCGUGGUGUCAGAAUCUAGAUCAUCUGAUGAUGACACUCCCGCAACACCUGUAACCGAGGAACCAUCGAGGAAGUAAAGGCCCCGCUCCAAAUUACCACGUAUCACAGUCAAAGCACCCGAGAAUACCUUGAGAACUCCACCUUCAGCAGAGUACCGAAAGCCUUUCUUGUCCAAGGUACUCAAAGAGAUCAAAUUUUUCUUCAUUUCUGGAAUGUGCCGAACAUCAGUUAGAGUUCUAACAAUACCGUCAAACAUCUUUAUACGAACUGUGCCAAUCCCCAUGACUUGACAUGCGUGGUCAUUUCCCAUUAGUACUGAACCAGAAUGCUUCUCGUAUGUUGAGAAUGCAUCUUUCGAAGUACUUAUAUGAAAUGUAGCUCCCGUAUCAAGAAUCCAUCUCCCACCAGCGUAAGAGUCGGAUACUGCAAGAACGAUCUCGGCAUCACUUGAAGAAUCUGCAUCAGCUACAUUCGCACGAUCAUUUUGUUGCUCCUGUGAUUCUGAUUUCUCCUUCCUUUUCGGACAAUCUACCUUCAUGUGCCCGUACUUCUUACAGUAGUAGCACUGUAUUCUCUUCUUGGACUGCGAUCUAGGAUGGCUUUUACUUGAACUUCCACCCUUUGCCUUGGAUCUUCCUCGAGCAACCAAGCCUUCGCCUUCAUUGUUUUCGACCACCUUACCAGUGAUUUUCUUCCUCAACUCACUGGAACUUAAGGCAUUUUUCACCUCCUCUAGAGUCAGGUCAUCACGACCGUACAUCAUUGUAUCAACAAAAUUCUCAUACGAGGGAGGCAAAGAACACAAAACAAUUAUUGCUUGGUCCUCAUCAUCGAUUUUGUUAUCGAUAUUAUUCAAAUCCAUGAUAAUGGAAUUGAAUUUAUCCAGGUGCUGGGAAACAGGUGUACCUUCCUCCAUCUUCAGGGCAUAGAGUCUUUGCUUGAGGUAGAGCCGGUUCGUCAAUGACUUCGUCAUGUACUUGCUUUCUAACCGGAGCCACAAACCGGACGCGGUUUUCUCAUCCGCUACUUCUCGUAGCACUUCAUCUCCUAGACAUAGCAGAAUAGCACUAUGUGCUCUUUCUAGCAUGUCAUCCUUUUGCUCUUCCGAAAGCGUGCUUGGUAAUUUAUCUUUACCAGACAAUGCUUUUAGCAAUCCUUGUUGAACCAGCACUGCCCGCAUCUUGAUGCGCCAUAAACUGAAACUAUUUUUCCCGGUAAAUUUCUCGACAUCAUACUUAGUCGAUGAAACACUUGUAGCCAUAAUUUGGAACCUUUGAAUGAAUGAUAAUAUUUUCUUCCUGAUGUGAAAGAUCAGACAAAGCUGCAGUCACAGGGCAAUUCAGAAAAUAUUAUCACUCCUUCAACUACGCUCUGAUACCAAUUUGUUGCGGAAAGGAUCGAUUCGAGAACUCCGAUAUGACUACAAGUAAAUUGACCGAAACGAAAAAUAAAGUGAACACAAGGAUUUACGUGGUUCGGCUUUAAUGCCUACGUCCACGGGCAGAGGCGAAAAGAAAUUUCACUAUAACAAGAUGAAGAUUACAAGUGUUUUACACUCAAGACACAACCCGAGAACCUCACAACUCUCAACCCCUAUAGAAAACCCGAAAGCUAAAAUCCUAGCUUUCAAAGAACAAGCUUUGCUCUCUCUUGGUUUGGGAUGAUAAAUAUGGCUAAUGAACCUCUCUAUUUAUAAGAGAGUUCAAGGACAUAAUUGUCCAAAACUUUGGCAAAGAUUUGUGGUUGAAAAUGGACACCAACAACCAUCCACUAAUCCACUACCACCAACAACCCACUACCAACAACAACAAUCCACUACCAAUUUUAAGCCAUUUCUUAACAAUAAUUAUGGGUUUAAAAUUAAUAUAUUUAAACAUUUCACUGUUAUAAUUAUACUAAUAUUCUUAGAAUCCAAUAAUCGAAUCGAUCAUACCAUCUAUAUCUGAUUCAACCGAAUUAUAAACUAUAAAAACUAAGAGGAUUGUAAUGCUCCCUAUUAUAUAUAUGACUUAAAUGGUAAUUGUAUGACUCCUGAUUAAAGAUAAUAGAUAUUUUUAUAUAAUGUAAGCCAUAAUUCGUAAAUAAAUAUAUUACUAUAAUUGUUUAAAUCAAUUAAAUUUAAUAUCGGGUUUCUAAUGAUAAUAUAUUAGUUGGCAUGGCCGCAUUCUGGAUUUGUUUAAUCCAAUCUUGACAUUUUGGAUUUGUCGGCUUGUAAUUUCAAGAACCAGUCAUGAUUCCCAUAGUCGACAUUAUUUUCCAGUGUAAAGCUUCAAGAACUGCCAUCCUUGGCAUCUAAUACCUUGGUAUCCGAAAAUUAUUACUGAAUUUCAUACAAGAAACAAUUACCAUGGCUGAAUCCUUUGUAUUCGAGAUCGCCGCAAAAGUAUUGAAGAAACUAGGGAGUGCUACCUAUGAAAGAAUUAGCUUGGCAUGGGGUGUUCGAGGGGAGUUUGAAAAGCUUAAGCUGACCCUAGCUGCUAUCAGAGUUGUGGUCCUGGAUGCUAAACAACAACAGGCUCGGAAGCAUGAGAUUAGUCAUUGGCUGCUCAAGUUCAAAGAUGCUUUGCUAUGAAACGGAAGAUUUGAAAGACGAGUUCGAGAUCCAAGCGUUGAGGAGGCAAGUCCUGGAACAGGGAAGCAUUUUGGCAUGUCGGUUUAGGAUGGGCAAUAAGAUCUGUCGAAACCAUUUUUUUGGCGAACAAAAAAUUUAGGUUGUCGACUUUAAAAAAUGAAAAUUGGGAGUCGCCACCAAUUUUUUAUUAAGGUGUGAUUGGGUCACCUAAAAACGACUUUGGUCUACGAAUUUUAGAAAAGUGGGUUCGGGAGUCAGUUACAUAUGAGAAGGAUUAGCACCCUCAUUACGCCCAAAAAUUAGUACCUAGUUAAUUAAUUAAUGUCUUAAUGUCGAAAAUUUGAAAAAUAUAAUCCUUAGCAAAAACUUAAAACGUUACGUAUUAAAACCCUUAUCAUUUCAGAGAAAGAAAAUGCCACACCCAAUGCGUUAGGGCACGACAUUCUAAUUUCCUCCAAAAUGAAUUAGGUCAGAAUACUCGUGUAAUAAAAAUUUAAAAGAAUAUCCAUUUAUUCAAGAUUUAAGAAAUCGCGGCCCAAUACGUUAGGGCACAAUUCCUUUAAAAUCCCAAACUCGGAAUAUUUCUUUAUUAUUUUUUUAGAAAAAAUCUUUAUUUCGAGAAAUCAAUGCGUUACAUCCAAUACGUUAGGACACAACGUGUUGAAUUCCCAAUAAUGGGUUCUUAUUUUUUUAAUAAAGAGAAAUGCUCGAUUGUUAGAUUUAACGAAGAAAAUCGAAACCUAAUACCUUAGGGCUCAAUUUCCUUGAAAAUCCUAAAUACAAGCAUUAUCUCAAUUUUGAAAAGUCCUAUUUUUUUUUUAAAUUUGAAUAAGAAGAUGAUGUAAUGUGAUAUUGAAUGUGUGUAAUAAUGUCGCAAUAACAAGUACAACAAUCUUGCACCAUAUUGGCAAUCGAAAGGUAAUGAAUUAAAAGCUAAUUUUCAAAAGAAAUAAAUCCUACAUAAAAUAAUAAUAUCUUGAUAAACUUUUAACUAAACAUUAUAUAGGAAAAAAAAAGGUGAUAUAUGUAAAAUACGUAUAUUUAGAAAAGUAGAAGACUUAAUAAGGUGAUAUAUGUAAAAUACGUAUAUGUAAAAGAUGCUUGCUACGACGUGGAAGAUUUGAUAGACGAGUUCGAGAUCCAAGCAUUGAGGAGGCAAGUCCUGGAAAGGACCGGAAAGAAGGUACGCCAUUUCUUUUCUGGCUCUAACCCUUUGGCAUUUCGUUUUAGGAUGGGUUAUAAGAUCAAAAAGGCUAACGAGAUGUUGAAUGAGAUUGCAACUAGCAUGGCCAAGUUUCAUCUCACUGAAAAACAUGAACCUAAUGAUGUCAUACAUCGUGAGAGGGAAACCUACUCCUUUGUUAAUACAUCUAGUGUCAUCGGUCGAGAUGAAGCUAAACAACAUCUAGUUAACUUCUUAAUGAAUCCAAUUGAUGGGGAAGAUAUCCCUGUCCUUCCCACAGUUGGGAUCGGAGGUAUUGGGAAAACUACCCUGGCCCAAUUGGUGUUUAACGAGGAGAGUGUGAAGUCGCAUUUUGAAUUGAGAAUCUGGGUGUGUGUUACAGAGGAUUUUGACAUCAAACAACUGAUGAUAAAAAUCAUUAAAUCUGCCACUCGUAUGAACUGCAAGGUGUUGGAUAAAAUGGCAGUAGCAAAGAAAGCAAAAACGAAUGAAAGAAAAAAAAACAAAAGAAAAGAACUCAGCAAGAAAAUUUGUAACUAAGAAGUUGUCAUAAUUUCAUUCAAAUUUUGAAUAUAUGAUGGUUACAAAAGUAUUUGACAGUUACCUACUAAUUUAACUUCUCUUACUUACUAAAAAUAUAGCAACUUGUAUACAAAAGAAAGCUGGCAUACCAGCUAUUACAUCAGUCAAUCUUUCCUACUAACUUAGCUAACUCAUUACAAAGAUUUAGACUAAGUUCCAUAGGAACAAAUAUUCAAAAAGUAAUUUUAUAACUGAACCAACUCCAUUUCUUUGCUACAAAACAGUAUAGCAGCUCAAAUUGUACAAUUUGCUGCUGUUGGUCUUUUGACCAAUUUGUUGCUGUUGGUUCUUUGUUGCAAUGCAGGCCACGGCUUCAACACUCCUCCUUGGUCUGUAUGCAACAAACACCAAUCCUUUCCUUCAAAGCAUUAAAUCGGUUGGCUCCCAAUGGUUUAGUUAAAAUGUCAGCUAGCUGAAUUUCUGAGCUGCAAUGAACUAAGCUAACCUCCCUAGAUUGCUCAGCUUCUCUAACAAAAUGGAAUUUGAUUUUGAAGUGUUUAGUCUUACCAUGGAAGACUGGAUUCUUGGCUAUGGCCACAGCUGAUUGAUUAUCCACUCUAAUCUCAGUAGGCUGAACUUGACUUUCAUUCAAAUCAUCCAAAAUCUUCCUAAGCCAAAUGGCUUGGUUCACAGCUGCUGCAGCUGAGAUAUACUCAGCCUCUGCUGUAGAUUGUGCAACAGUUUGUUGCUUCUUGGAACUCCAGCUGAAAACACUCGAGCCUAAGGUAAAAAAAUAACCUGAAGUGCUCCUCAUGUCAUCAACUGACCCUGUCCAAUCGCUAUCAGAAUAGCCUACGAGUUUCAGCUCCCUUGCCCUCCAAAACUUCACACCAGUAUCGAUGGUUCCUUUGACAUACCUUAACACUCUUUUUGCUGCCUUCAGAUGUGCCACAUUACUGCAGUGCAUAAACCUUGAAAGUAGACUAACAGCAUAGACAAUGUCUGGUCUAGUUGCUGUUAAAUAAAGCAAACAACCAAUUAAGCUUCUAUAUGCCUUCUCAUCUACUCGAUCAUGUUCACUGGCACUUGACAAUUUUUCUCCCAAUGCAACUGGUGUAGUGACUGAUUUGCAUUUCAACAUGCAAAAUUUUUCAAGCACCUUGGAAGCAAAUGUUUGCUGACUUAUGAAAAUGCCAUCACUUCCUUGUUUUAUCUCCAUGCCAAGAAAGUAGGUCAUCAGACCAAGGUCAGUCAUCUCAAAGACAUGUUGCAUCUGUUUCUUGAAGUCUUCAAUAAGUUCAUCUUUGCAGCCAAUAACCAACAGAUCAUCAACAUACAAGGAAACAAUUAACAAGGUUUCCUCCUGAUCCUUCUUAACAUAGAGUGUAGGCUCACUGAUACUCUUUGUGAACCCGAGCCUUGCUAAGUAGCCAUCAAUCCUCUCAUACCAGGCCCUUGGAGCCUGUUUUAGACCGUACAAAGCCUUUUUCAGCUUGUAGACCUUCUGUUCUUCACCAGUGACCAUAAAACCAUCAGGUUGCUCAAUGAAUAUUUCUUCAUUAAGAAAGCCAUUUAGAAAGGCUGACUUAACAUCCAGAUGAUGCACCUUCCAAUGCUUUUGAGCUGCCAAAGCUAGCAGCAAUCUGAUAGUAUCCAACCUUGCAACAGGUGCAAAGGUUUCAGAAAAAUCAACCCCUUGCUGCUGACUAUAACCUUUAACAACCAGUCUGGCCUUAUGUCUAUUAAGAGAGCCAUCUGCAUUGUUCUUAAUUCUAUAGACCCACUUUACACCUAUAAUUUUUCUGUUUUCAGGUCUGUUUACAAGCUCCCAUGUAUCAUUUUUCUGAAUCAUUUUAAAUUCAGCUUCCAUAGCAUCCUGCCAGCAUUUUUCUUUUGCAGCUUCUUCAAAACAUGAAGGCUCUACUAUAGUUACUGUACAUCUCUCAUAGAUGUCAGUUAAUGUCCUGGUGCCUCGAAUAGGUUGAUCAUCAUAGCCAUUUUCAAUUACUUCUUCAUUUUCAGCUUGCUGCAGAUCAACAUCAAUCUCUUCUUCAUCUGGCAAAUUUGCUUCAAUUCCAUCCCAUUUCCAGCUACUUGCUUCACUGAAUUUCACAUCUCUGCUCACUACAACCUUCUUGGUCAGUGGAUCAAAGACUCUGUAUCCUUUCUUCACAUUGCUGUAGCCAACAAACACCCCAGGCAUGGACCUCUUGUCCAACUUGGUUCUUCUCUCCUCAGGUACCAACACAUAACAUAGACAACCAAAUACCUUCAAAUGAGAGACAGAUGGUUUCUGUGCAAACCAGGCUUCAAAGGGAGUUUUUCCUUUGACUGCAUUAGUUGGCAACCUAUUCAACAGGUAAAUAGCUGUAUUCACAGCUUCAGCCCAAAAAACAUUAGGCAUAUUAGCCUCAAAUAACAAACACCUAGCAAAUAUCAAGGACUGUUCUGUUUUUCCUUUCACAAACACCAUUUUGCUGUGGUGUGUACACAGUAGUCAAUUGGUGUUGAAUUCCAGCAUCAUCACACAAUUUUUGAAACUUCUGAGAUACAUACUCAGAACCAUUGUCAGACCUCAAACAUUUUAGUUUGCAAUUUUCUUGGUUUUCGACCAAGGCUUUAAAUUUGCAGAAGGAGUCAUAAACAUCUGACUUAUGCUUCAAAAAAUUUACCCAACAGAACCUUGAAUAAUCAUCAAUGAAGAGUACAAAGUACCUGCUGCCAUUUAAGGAGGUAGUCUUCAUUGGUCCACAGAUGUCUGUAUGAAUAAGCUGAAGCUUCCCUUGUGCUCUCCAUGCCUUGUUGACUGGAAAGGGUAAUCUGGUCUGUUUGCCUAGCUGACAGACCUCACAUACAGCAUCCUUUGGCUCAAUUUUGGACAUAUCACUGACCAAAUCCAUUUUGUGCAGCAUGCUCAGUGAAUUGUAGUUCACAUGCCCCAUCCUCCUGUGCCACAAGUCUGUCUCAUCAGACUGAGAUGCGUAUGCCUUGGCUUGCAGUUGAUUCACAUCCACAAUGAAGGUUCUGUCUUGCAUAGCCACUGUAGUCAACACUUCACCAGCAGCAUUUUUGAUCAAACAGUUUUUGCCUUCAAAAAUCAGAGAGUAACCCUUCUCCAAUAGCUGGCCAACACUUAGCAAGUUUUGGUCAAUGUCAGGUACAUAGAGAACCUCUGAAAUGGUUUUAAUACCUGACUUAGUGCUUAUCAAAGCCUUGCCUUUCCCUUUUGCCUCUAGCAGCUCACCAUUGCCAAUUUUGACUUUGGACUUGAAGGUGGUGUCAAGCUCCUUAAAUAUACUCUUCUCAGAAGCCAUAUGGUAGGUACAUCCACUGUCAAUCAACCAUAUUUUACUAACUUUGCUCGAGCUUGCAAAGCAUGAUGCUGAAAAAAACAUGCUCUUCUGGUGAUUCAACCUCUUCUGCAGCUUGAGCUUGGCUUUGAAAUUGUGGUUGUGGUUUUGGCUUGCUCUUACAGACCUUUUCAAUGUGGCCAAAUUGCUUGCAGGCUCUACAUUGAAUGUCUGGUCUGUACCAGCAGUAUUUCUCAAGAUGAGUAGUCUUCUUGCAAUGGACACAAGGUGGGAACUUCCUUUUGACAGGUUCUUUCUUCUUUUUCUCAGUCCAGGGCUUCUUGCCUUUGGCAUUUAAGUUUGAACUUGAGCUUUCUCUGCUUCUAGCCUGAAAAGCUCCGUCAUAGUGGUCCUCCUGCCUAUUUGCCCUUCUCUGCUCUUGAGCAUAGAGAGCAUUUAUAAGCUCUGUCAAAGGGAUUGUUGACAAGUCCCUUGAAUCUUCCAGAGAAGAAAUUUUUGCUUCAUACUUCUCUGGCAAGGUUGUUAUGACCUUCUCAACCACUCUUUGGUCACUGAAUUCUUCCCCAAGCAGCCUUAUGUUGUUGACAGUAGCCAUGAUUCUGUCAGCAUACUGCUUGAUGGUUUCUGAGUCCUUCAUUUUGAGAUUUUCAAAAUCUCUUCUCAUGUUGAUCAGCUGCUGUUGCCUGGUCUUGUCAGACCCCUGAAACUCCUCCUUGAGUUUGUCCCAGGCCUACUUUGGAGUGUCACAAGCCAUUAUUCUUGUGAAAAUAACAUCAGAAACUCCACUUUGAAGGCACGACAUAGCCUUAUACUUCUUGGCACAGUCUUCAUUGUGCUGCCUAAUCUGGGCUAUAGUCGGGUUGGCUCUUAGUGGUGGUGGCUCAGUGUCAUUGAGAACAACAUUCCACAGGUCGUGUGCCUGCAGGUAUGUUCUCAUUUUCACUGCCCAGAUGUUGUAAUUUUCUCCAGCAAAGACAGGUGGAGGAGGUGGUGUAAAACUCAUUUUUCAGCAAGCAAAACAACCUCUUCUUCUUUUGUUUCAAACUCAAUUUGCUUAGUGACAGUGUACAACCAAGGCCCUCAAAGACUGAAAGCUCUUGAUACCAUUUGUUGGAUAAAAUGGCAGUAGCAAAGAAAGCAAAAACGAAUGAAAGAAAAAAAAAUAAAAGAAAAGAACUCAGCAAGAAAAUUUGUAACUAAGAAGUUGUCAUAAUUUCAUUCAAAUUUUGAAUAUAUGAUGGUUACAAAAGUAUUUGACAGUUACCUACUAAUUUAACUGCUCUUACUUACUAAAAAUAUAGCAACUUGUAUACAAAAGAAAGCUGGCAUACCAGCUAUUACAUCAGUCAAUCUUUCCUACUAACUUAGCUAACUCAUUACAAAGAUUUAGACUAAGUUCCAUAGGAACAAAUAUUCAAAAAGUAAUUUUAUAACUGAACCAACUCCAUUUCUUUGCUACAAAACAGUAUAGCAGCUCAAAUUGUACAAUUUGCUGCUGUUGGUCUUUUGACCAAUUUGUUGCUGUUGGUUCUUUGUUGCAAUGCAGGCCACGGCUUCAACACAAGGACAUGAAUAAGGAGGAAUUACAUAAAGUUUUGCAAGACUGUUUGAAUGGUAAAAGAUUUUUUAUGGUACUAGAUGAUGUCUGGAACGAGGACAAGAAGAAAUGGAGUGAGCUGAAAGAUUUGUUGUGUGGGGGAGCCCAAGGGAGUAGAAUCAUUGUCACAACUCGUGGCCGCAAAGUGGCUACAAUCACAGGCAUAAUCCCUCCAUACGAUUUAGAGCAUCUUUCUUAUGACAAUUGUCUAUCAUUGUUUCUUAAACUUGCCUUUAAAGAAGGUGAAGAGAAACAACAUGACAAUCUUGUAAGAAUCGGGGAAGGAAUUGUUCAAAAAUGCAAAGGGGUUGCUUUGGCCGUGAAGACUUUAGGCAGCCUACUCUGUUCAACUAGGAUACAACAUGAUUGGGAACUUGUGCGAGAUAGUGAACUAUGGAAGUUGAAACAGGAGGAAAAUGACAUCUUGCCUGCUCUAAAACUAAGUUAUGAUCAUUUGCCCUAGUAUUUAAAGCAAUGUUUUGCUUUUUGUUCAGUUUUUCCAAAAGAUUUUGAAUUCAGUCAUCUCUAUUUGAUCUCCCUUUGGAUGGCAAAUGGCUUUUUGCAAUCACCAUACGAAAAUGAAGAGCCAGAAGAUAUUAGGAAUCGGUAUAUACAAGAGUGACUAUCAAGAUCUUUCUUCCAACAAGUUGAAGAUGAGAUUUUUUUUUCCACCUUCAAAAUGCAUGAUUUAGUACAUGAUCUUGCAUUAUCAGUGGCGCAAAAUGAGGUGAAUUCAUGGAACCAUUAUUCGACUGGGAAUGUUCGACAUUUAUGGUUUGAUCUAUCGAAGCAGGAUGCUUCCCAGUUGCCAAAUAACUUGGGUUGUCUGCAAUCACUUUUCUUAUCAGAUGAAGAAGGCAAGGCUGAUAACGAAUCUCUUAUUGCAGAAGUCAUCUCAAGGUCUAAACAUUUGAGGGUGUUAGAUUUGGGUAACUGCAGUUUAGAGCAAUUGCCAAACAACAUACAUUAUUUAAAGCAGUUGAGAUGGUUGAACCUAGACAACAAUGGAAAUAUAAAAGGAUUUCCAAAUUCCAUUUGCAAUUUGCAGAGUUUGCAAACACUUCACCUUGUUGAAUGUAGGGGAAUUGAAGAGUUACCAAAAGACAUAAGGUACCUGAUUAGCCUUAGAGAAUUAUCGGUAACAACAAAACAGACGCGUUUGCAAGAGAAUGGAAUAUCGUGCCUCACUUGUCUUCGAAGGUUGAUCUUUUCUGAAUGUGAAAAUUUAGAAAAAUUGUUUGAAGACAUUCAAAACCUAACAGCCCUUCGAGAAUUAACCAUAGUUGAAUGCAACAACUUGGUUUCAUUGCCACAAGGUUUAAAAUACCUACCUACAUUAGAAAGUUUGUCAAUUGUAAAAUGUGAAAAGCUUGAUCUCACUAUGGAGGAGUUGGAACUUGAGAGGGAAGAAGGUGGUAGCCUUAGAAAUUUGUGGAUCGAAGGAGUGCCAAAGCUGGAGUCACUACCCCAAUGGAUUCUUCUAGGAUCCAUCAAAACUUUGCAGCAGUUGGACAUCUGCAACUUGAAGAAUCUCUCGACGUUACCAACAUGGUUCCAACAUCUCACAUCGCUCAAAGUCUUCAAAUUUCAAAAUUGCCCAAGGUUGUCGUCUCUACCAGAAGGGAUGCAACACCUCACUGCACUCAAAAGAUUAGAGAUUAGAGGGUGUCCAAAAUUAAACAAAAGAUGCAUUAAAGAAACCGGUGAAGACUGGCCUAAGAUUGCUCAUGUCCCUGACUUUUAUUGUGAUGACUUGGAGACAACAACAAAUGAGGAAUAGAUAAGGUAAGUCACCAAACACUGCUCUAUUUGGUAUAUAUCUAUUUAGCUUUUAAAUUUUAAUAUUACUCUAUUUCACACUAACAUAAUUGAAUUUUAUCUACUCUGAACCAAAUAAAACUUCACCUAGUAGAAUAAAAAUACUUCAAAAGCGAAUCUAAUAAGAUGCUAAAUGUCUUUUUUAAUUAUUUAAUGGAUUAAUAUUUAGUAUAUUGUUAGUAUUUUUUUAUUUUAUAAAUAAUAUUAAAAAAUUAUCAUGUGUAUAAGAUAUUAUCCAAAUGUAAAAUGCCUCAAUUUAAUGUUAUGCAGAGAUUUUCUAACACAACUUAUUUAUUGAUUAAAGUGGCAGGUCAAAUUUAAAGAGGUUGAAAUUAACUUUGGUGCUUUCCCAUAUAUAUAUAUAUAAAAGUGUGAAUUAUUGGUUUAUAAUUUGAUUUGUAUCAAAGACAAUAAUGUAAUAAUUUGAUUUCUUUGGUUUGUAAAUGUAAUCAUCACUUGUUUGCUUCUUAUUUUCUUUAUUAUAAUUAAAUAAAUAAAAUAAUUUUUUGAGUGGGAAAUUUAAGAUUUUAUCAAUUCAAUUGGCAUGGGUUUAAAUUUUAUUUUAUGCAUAUUUUAUUAUUAUCUUUAUUCAAAUAAUAUAAAUUAUUUUAAAUGCGAAGAGACAUUAAAGUAAUUUCCUUAAUUGAGUUGGGAUCCACACAAACUCAAUAAAGAGCUUUAUAAAUCAAAACAAAAUAAAGUCUCGGUUAAGUGUUAAAUUUAAGACUUUUUUUUUUCAAUAUAAUUUGACAUGAGUUUAAAUCAAUGUAGCUAGUUCCGCAUCAAUUCCAUUGCACGCUCGGUGCACACUAUUCCAAUAAUAAACUGAAAUGAUCACUUCUUUUUUUGCACUGGCAUAAAUUUUGAUCUAUAUCAGUUAUACCAACUCAUUCUGACCAAUUUCAGUUGUACCAGUUGGAACAUUUUACACCGACCAAUACAAGAAUAAUGUUAAAAAAUAGAUAAAAUUAUUAUUUUACCAACUUUAAUUUUUUUAAUAACCAAAUUUAAAUUUUAAACUUUAGUAAAUGAACAACUUUCAAAAUUAUAGUAGAAAAUUAAUAAUAAAAAAGUAAAAAAAAAUUAUACUAAUAGGAAAAAAAAAGACAAAUUCUAAAAGUUUCACCAACACAGCAUGUUUUAUUAAACUUUUAUUUUAUGUAUUUAGUAUGAGAUUUUUUAAAAUAAUGUAGUGGAUAAUUUUUGUUGUUUAACAUGUGAAAUAAUUUUCUUCUUGUUUAUUUUAAAUUUGUUAAAUAAUAAAAUUUUAUUUGUGAAGUUUAUUUAUGAGUGUUUUAUAUAAUUAAUUAAUAUUUUUAUAUUUGAAAUUAUUUAAUUUAAUUCAUUUGAUAUAUUUAAAUAUUUUAUGCAUUAAAUGUUUUUCAAAAAUAUUGAUAAAUCCGAAACGAUACAUCAAAAUAGAUGAAUAUCAGCACUUACUAGAUUCAAUAGAAAAUGAUACAUCCAUUAGUGGGAUACUAACUACCUUGGUUCAAAUUCCAUCCUAUGCAAUUUUUUUUAAAUUUAAAAAUAUUAAAAUGUCAUCGAAUAAUAUAACUUAUUUUAAAUAAAAAAGGAUAUUUUCAUAAUUUUCCUAAUCAAAUUGGUGCUCGACUCACUCAUGACACCAAAUCAGUUAGGGAUUUUAUUAAUAAUACGUAUAGGUAAUAAGAAAGUAUGCAUAAUAAAAUUAAAAUGUAUAAACAAAUUAAAAUAAAUUUUUGGUUAAGUGAUAAAUUUAAAAAAUUUUCAAUGUAAUUUGGUAUGAGUUCAAAUUCAAUAAUAUGCAUUUUUUCUAUUUUUAAAAAAACAAAAAGACUAAAGUACCCUUAAAUAAUAUAUCUUAUUUUAAAUUUGAAAGGAUAUUUUUGUUAUUUUCUCCUAACUGAGUUGGUGCUUGAUUGACUCGUGACACCAACUUAAUCAGGAUUUUAUUAAUAGUAUAGAUACACAAAUUUGGUGGGAGAAAAUAAUUUAUAUCAAGAGUUAUUUUGUCUAAAGUUUACUUAGGAAUCAUUAUUGGUGUCGUGGUAAUUUCUUUGACAUGUUAAUUUUAAUUCUUUUAUUUUAAAACUAUAUAAAAGUAUGAAAAUACAAAAAAAGACCGUUAAAAUAGUAAUAAUAGACAUUUAAUAAAAGAGUAUAUUAAUCAUUUCUUAAUCGAGUCAGUAUUUGAUUAAUCAAUAUCAGAAAUUUUAUUAAUAAUAUAGAUUAUUCUAAAUAUAUAAAAAAAAGUUCCUAUGUGGCCCAAAGCAUAUCAUACAAAAAUGUAAUACAAUGGCCCAACACUUUAUUUUUCUGGGGAUCAUGUUAUCAAUGAUGAACAUUAUUUUGAUAAUGGUUAGGCUGAUAAGGAACAAAAAAAAGGCACACAAAGUCUACUAAUUUACCCAACAAAUUUUAAAAAUAUUUUACGUUGCAGUCUUUCAAGCUUGAUGCUAAUCUAUUAAAUUAAAAUGAUCAAAUCUUUGAUGGAAUGAUACAUCUAUUUAUCUACUUCUUCAACCACACCCAUAAUAGAUAAUUAAAAAAAAUCAACAUAAAAUAUGAAUUGUUAUAAUAUAUAAAUAGAUACAUUAACUUGUCAAGUACACUAAAACUCAAUAGGUAUGUUGUUUAUAAAUGGCAAUUGGGUAAGUUUUUUAAUACCCAAAAGAAAAGAGGGGUCAAAUAGAAUGUGUUGAGAAUAUGUUGAGGGUGUAUUUGGAUUCUCAUAUUCACAAAAUAUCAAACAUGUCAUAAUCUAUGCAUACAAGUUGAUUUAACAACAUUAAUUCAUUGUUAACUUUUUAGAAAUAAAUAUUUUACGUAUUAUAAUAGUAGUUCAACUUACCUUUUUCACCGGAUUGGGCGUCUCCGUCGCUAUCGGAGCACUGGCCCAGGUGAUCGGCGGCGCAAAGGGCUGGGGUUGAAGAAACCCUAGCAGAGAAUUUUGUUUUUUUUUCCUCCUUUCUACUGCAAGUGUUUUUAAAAAAAAAAACUGUUUUAAAACUAAAGAGCAAAACGGCGCCGUUCUUGGGGGGUCCGCGCGUUGACCCGACCCGCAGGUUGGAUCCGCGCCUCUCUACCCUAAAUGGGUAAUUUUCACAAUUGGCCCCCCAAGUUUUGCAAUUGUUUUAAAUUUACUCUUUUAUUUCUUUUAAAUCUUGCCAUAUAUUUUAUUUCUGUUUCAAUUCGGUCCACAUUACUGCAUAGUGCUUGAGAGGUUUGGGUAAAUUUCCCUUUGGAUCCCCCUCCUGUUGCGCACGUUUUGAUUUGGUUCUUCCUGGUGUUUUCUAUCUUUAAAUUCGGCCUUUUAACUUCAUUUAGUUUUUAGUUUAAUCCUUAAUCUUCCAUUCUAAGUUUUUCUUUUAGUUUUAUUAUUAUUAUUAUUAUUAUACUUACAUAUAUACGUAUAUGUAUGCUAAUAGAUAUAUAUAUAUUUUAAAUGUUUUUUAAUACAUAUACAUAUAUUUUUAUAUAUUUUGCUAUUAUUUCAUUUUCUUAGUUUCUAUAUGCAUAUAUACGUAUGUACAUUUAUACUUUUAUAAUAUUUAUACAUUUUUCAUAUUUUAUAAUCAAAAUUAUUGUAAAUAGAUUUUCCGUUUUUUUAUAUACAUAUAUACACAUAUUUUCAAAUUUACUUGUAUAUUGUGCUUGUGUUUACAUAUUUUGUAAAUACAUGUACAUAUAUAUUUUAAAUUAAAAUAUUUGUUUCAUACUGUACAUUAAUUUUUAACAUACCCUUUGGAAAAUAAAUCUUGUUUUUUUCGAUAAAUCAAAAUCAUUUUUUCUUGAUUCAAGGUUUAUUUUGAAUAAAACUAAUAUUCGAAGUUUGGGAUUUUCGAGGAAAUUGAGCCCUAACGUAUUGGGUUCCGAUUUUCUUUGUUAAUCUUAAAUAAACGAGGAUAUUCUUUAUUCAAAAUGCAUGAGUAUAAAAUCAUUUUUGGGAACUUAACUUGUUGUGUCCUAACGCAUUGGGUGUGGCAUGUUACUUUCUCAAAAUGAAGAUUUUCACAUAAAAUAAAAGUGAUAUUCAAAGUUCGGGGAUUAUGAGGAAUUGUACCCUAACGUAUUGGGACUUGAUUCCUUUACAUGACUUGAAAAAUCGAUUAUCCUUUUUCAAAUUUCAUCAUUUGAGUUGAUUUUAAGAUCUUUUUAAAUUUUUGACACCAAGAUAUUAAAUAAUCAAUUUGGUACCGAUUUUGGGCGUUACGAGGGUGCUAACCCUUCCUCGUGCGUAACUGACUCCCGAACCUGUUUUCUCAAAUUUCGCAGACUGAAAUUGUUUUUAAGGUGAGCCGAUCACACCUCAAUCAACGAUCGGUGGCGACUCCAAUUUUUUAUUUUUAAAGUCGACAACUAAAAUUUUUGUUUUCAAAAAGACGGUUUCGACAGUGGUAAUUUCUGUGACAUGUUAAUUUUAAUUCUUUUAUUUUAAAACUAUAUAAAAGUAUGAAAAUACAAAAAAAGACCAUUAAAAUAGUAAUAAUAGACAUUUAAUAAAAGAGUAUAUUAAUCAUUUCUUAAUCGAGUCAGCAUUUGAUUAAUCAAUAAACCGAUUCAAUCAGAAAUUUUAUUAAUAAUAUAGAUUAUUCUAAAUAUAUAAAAAAAAAGUUCCUAUGUGGCCCAAAGCAUAUCAUACAAAAAUGUAAUACAAUGGCCCAACACUUUAUUUUUCUGGGGAUCAUGUUAUCAAUGAUGAACAUUAUUUUGAUAAUGGUUAGGCUGAUAAGGAACAAAAAAAAGCACACAAAGUCUACUAAUUUACCCAACAAAUUUUAAAAAUAUUUUACAUUGCAAUCUUUCAAGCUUGAUGCUAAUCUAUUAAAUUAAAAUGAUCAAAUCUGUGAUGGAAUGAUACAUCUAUUUAUUUACUUCUUCAACCACACCCAUAAUUAUUUAACAUGGAAAAAUAAUUUAAAAAAUCAACAUAAAAUAUGAAUUGUUAUUAUAUAUAAAUAGAUACAUAACUACACUAAAACUCAAUAGGUAUCUUGUUUAUAAAUGGCAAUUGGGUAAGUUUUUUAAUACCCAAAAGAGAAGAAGGGUCAAAUAGAAUGUGUUGAGAAUAUGUUGAGGGUGUAUUUGGAUUGUGAUGAAGAUAUUAUAUUGUGUUUCAAUAAUAAUUAAGAUUCUCAUAUCCACAAAAUAUCAAACAUGUCAUCAUCUAUGCAUACAAGUUGAUUUAACAACAUUAAUUAAUUCAUUGUUAAUUUUACGAUACACGUAUGCAUGUGAAAUUACAAAUUUCGAAUAUAAAUGUACGUUUAAAAAUAACAUAUAAUAAACAACGAAAUGUAUGUUUUGAAACUGAUCAAUUAUAAUAACACAUAAAAUAUGUGUAAGACAAAAUUUUAAACACAUAAAUACAUCAAAUAAAUACAUCAAAGAUGCUUGCUACGACGUGGAAGAUUUGAUAGACGAGUUCGAGAUCCAAGCAUUGAGGAGGCAAGUCCUGGAAAGGACCGGAAAGAAGGUACGCCAUUUCUUUUCUGGCUCUAACCCUUUGGCAUUUCGUUUUAGGAUGGGUUAUAAGAUCAAAAAGGCAAACGAGAUGUUGAAUGAGAUUGCAACUAGAAUGGCCAAGUUUCAUCUCACUGAAAAACAUGAACCUAAUGAUGUCAUACAUCGUGAGAGGGAAACCUACUCCUUUGUUAAUACAUCUAGUGUCAUCGGUCGAGAUGAAGCUAAACAACACCUAAUAAACUUCUUAAUGAAUCCAACUGAUGAGAAAGAUAUCCCUGUCCUUCCCAUAGUUGGGAUCGGAGGUAUUGGGAAAACUACCCUUGCCCAAUUGGUGUUUAAUGAGAAGAGCGUGAAGUCGCAUUUUGAAUUGAGAAUCUGGGUGUGUGUUACAGAGGAUUUUGACAUCAAACAACUGAUGAUAAAAACCAUUCAAUCUGCCACUGGUAUGAACUGCAAGGACAUGAAUAAGGAGGAACUGCAUAAAGUUUUACAAGAUUGUUUGAAUGGUAAAAGAUUUUUUAUGGUAUUGGAUGAUGUCUGGAACGAGGACAAAAAGAAAUGGAGUGAGCUGAAAGAUUUGUUGUGUGGGGGAGCCCAAUGGAGUAGAAUAAUUGUCACAACUCGUAGCCGCAAAGUGGCUACAAUCACAGGCACAAUCCCUUCAUAUGAUUUAGAGCAUCUUUCUUAUGAGAAUUGUCUAUCAUUGUUUCUUCAACUUGCCUUUAAAGAAGGUGAAGAGAAACAAUAUGACAAUCUUGUAAGAAUCGGGGAAGGAAUUGUUCAUAAAUGCAAAGGGGUUGCUUUGGC